Molecule: unclassified non-coding RNA, 192 nt
Filed under: plant metagenome
Description: partial contains small subunit ribosomal RNA and internal transcribed spacer 1
Rfam family: Eukaryotic small subunit ribosomal RNA (bases 1-46)
Source: RNAcentral
AAGUCGUGACAAGGUCUCCGUAGGUGAACCUGCGGAGGGAUCAUUACUGAGUUAGGGAGCAAUCCCGACCUCCAACCCUUUGUGAACGCAUUAUGUUGCUUGGGGGGAUGACGCUGUCGAAAAUUUACAGUAGCCCCCCCAGGCCAUCAAAACACUGCAUUCUUACGUCGGAGUAAAAGUUAAUUUAAUAAA